RNAcentral lists this ribosomal RNA (492 nucleotides) under uncultured bacterium. RNAcentral describes it as "partial 16S ribosomal RNA". It matches the Rfam family "Bacterial small subunit ribosomal RNA", at positions 29 to 507 of the family's 1533-position model. The record is from RNAcentral.
AGUGAACGCUGGCGGUAGGCCUAACACAUGCAAGUCGAACGGCAGCACAGUAAGAGCUUGCUCUUACGGGUGGCGAGUGGCGGACGGGUGAGGAAUACAUCGGAAUCUACUUUUUCGUGGGGGAUAACGUAGGGAAACUUACGCUAAUACCGCAUACGACCUACGGGUGAAAGCAGGGGAUCUUCGGACCUUGCGCGAUUGAAUGAGCCGAUGUCGGAUUAGCUAGUUGGCGGGGUAAAGGCCCACCAAGGCGACGAUCCGUAGCUGGUCUGAGAGGAUGAUCCGCCACACUGGAACUGAGACACGGUCCAGACUCCUACAGGAGGCAGCAGUGGGGAAUAUUGGGCAAUGGGCGCAAGCCUGAUCCAGCCAUACCGCGUGAGUGAAGAAGGCCUUCGGGUUGUAAAGCCCUUUUGUUGGGAGAGAAAAGCAGCAGGUUAAUACCCCGCUGUUCUGACGGUACCCAAAGAAUAAGCACCGGCUAACUUCGUG